Molecule: long non-coding RNA, 3115 nt
Organism: Cydia pomonella (codling moth)
Lineage: Eukaryota; Metazoa; Arthropoda; Insecta; Lepidoptera; Tortricidae
Exons: 3
Source: RefSeq, a predicted model, not a curated record
UGACAGUUUUCUUCGAUUUUAUCGUUCACACUACGGUUGCAGACGAUAAUAGGAGUUAUCCACAUUUGACAGCGAUAGAUGACAAUCGACAAUUUGCAUAACAUGGUCGUCGGAUAAUUUGACACAUUAUCCCAUUUUGGCAGUUCAAUAUAGUUAAUUUUAUCUACGUGCUUCUUAGGUCACGACAAGCGUUGUCGUGGAUGCAAAGCUCAUGAAAAAACCUAUGUUAAGGUAUAAAUUAUCAGUAAGUAUCCGUUUUUCUAUGAUUUUAUUGAGUGUUAGUUAUUGAGUGUUAGUUAGUUAGUUAGUAGUGUAACUCCUCUGGAGUUGCAGGUGUACAUAGGCUACGGAGACUGCUUACCAUCAGGCGGGCCGUAUGCUUGUUUGCCACCGACGUAGCAAAAAAAAAAAAGUUCCGCUGCAUAUAAUAUUGUCAAUAUUUUCUUUGCAGGGAUGUCGAGAUUUUUUUUCUUCCAGCUCGCAACUGCUGCAGAGGAAAAAGAAAGAAGAAGGAUUCAGCGACGAUCUUUGAGGGACGCUGCAAACCCCUUUGAUAUGCCGGACGAAGAGUUCCGUCAUAUAUACAGAGUACGAAAGGAGUUAGUGUUAUAUAUUUGUGAAGAACUCAACGCCGACCUCCAGCCUCACAAGGGUGAUGGAUUGCCAUCUCACCUUAAGGUAAAGCUAUAAUAUUGCAGUGUUGCUCAUAUAGUACCAAAAGUUUGUAUGUUAAGAUACCGCACAAUCACACAAAAUUAGCUGAUACAAAUAUUUGGGUGAAAUUGUUGUUUAUAACAUAACAGAGGUGCUACAUUAUACCUUAAAAUUUAAAUAUUUCUUAAGCAAAAAAAUUUACUUAAAUAAUUAAGCUGUGUACAACUACUUAAAUAAGAUUCUAACAGCAUUACAUCUGCUGGCUGAUGGCAAUUAUCAACACGGGACUGGUCAGGAUCAUGGUUUAUCUAUUGGUCAGACGACUGUAAGCCACAGUAUCUCGAACAAUUUGUAGAUGCUGUGAACAGAAGGUAUGUUUAUUGGACCACUGAACUACUAGGCAUCAAAAACUGUGAGAGUAUACUAGGGCUAUCUUAGUAGUUUUUACUUUUUUGAAUAAGCAUCAGUGUUGAUGUAUUGUGUAAUGAGAUAGGUAUUGUUUGAUAGUUAUGUUCAGGUAGUUAGUUACAUUGGAUACAUAAUCUGGAAUUGCAAUACUAGCUAGGUUUGACUAAGGUUAAGUUCUAAAACGUGCCAUCUAAAAUAUGCUCCUUUUUACAGACUUAAAGACCAAUGGAUAAUAGUUUUUCCUGGAACUGAUCGGUCCCGACGAUCAGUUGCCUCAGGAUUUGAGGAUGCAUAUGGUCUGCCAAAUAUCUUGGGUGUAGUAGACUGCACUCAAGUGAAAAUAUUUCCCACCUGUGCCACACGGAGUGCAAUAUCUGAAUCGGAAAGGCGUUCACGCUCUUAAUGUACAGCUAAUUGCAGAUGUCAACUGUAAGAUCUUGGCAGUAAACACUUUCAUAUUUAACAAUUCGUCCAUUUAGGAUGAAUUAAGAAGAUUGUACAAUGGCCACAUUGGGGAGUAUUUCCUUCUGGGUAAGCAGAAAAUUGUGUAUCUGUACCUAGUGUAAAUUUAUUCGAUGGGGAGACGUGACGUACGCGUUUGCGUUAACUGUCAUUUUGUAUGGAAUUUUGAGUUUCCAAAACAUCCCGCUUGGCGCGCUGUUUCUAAAUCCCUUAGCACCACUUGCACCAUUUCACUAACUCGGGGUUAACUGGUUAACCCUGGAGUUACCAUGUUACCAGUACAAUUUCACAUUGGGUUAACGGUUUAACCGGUUAACCCCGGGUUAUUGGAAUGGGGCAAGUGCAUGUUAGUAAAUGUACUAAGAUCACGACCACAGAAUAAAUAGUUCAUGACUAAGUUAAUAUACCUAUCAUAAUGUAAAUAACCGGCCAAGAGCAUGUCGGGCCACGCUCAGUGUAGGGUUCCGUAGUUACUCUUCCGUCACAAUAAGCUAAACUGGAGCUUAAAGUGUAGUAAAUGGUACCUUUCACCCGAGUUAAACAAAUAGGCAAAUUUGCAUAAUCAGUACCUAAUUAAAGAAGUCUUUUUACUAUGAAGGGAAAACUUUUUGCGAUAACUCAAAAACAGCUAAACUGAUCAUGUCCGCUAUAGUUUUCAUUUAAUGUCUUUCUUAAGCUCUACUUCCACGAUUUUUUUCAUAUUUUUUGGACCUAUGGUUCAAAAGUUAGAGGGGGGGGGGACACAUUUUUUUUUUCUUUCGGAGCGAUUAUCUCCGAAUAUAUUCACUUUAUCAAAAAAUGUUUCUUAAAAACCCCUAUUAGUUUUGAAAGACCUUUCCAACGAUACCCCACACUUUAGGGUUGAAGCGAAAAAAAAAAUUCACCCCCACUUUACGUGUAGGGGAGGUACCCUAAAAAAAAUUAAAAUUUUAGAUUUUAUUGUACGACUUUGUCGGCUUUAUUGAUUUAUAUAUCCAUGCCAAAUUUCAGCUUUCUAACACUAACGACCACGGAGCAAAGCCUCGGACAGACAGACAGACAGACAGACAGACAGACAGACAGACAGACGGACAUGGCGAAACUAUAAGGGUUCCGUUUUAUGCCAUUUGGCUACGGAACCCUAAAAAGGCAUAAGCAAGGGGGAAGUUUCGUUAGUUGUUCAGAUGAUUAAGUAUUAUGUAACCAAAAAAUAAUAAUUUCAGGUGACUCGGGGUAUGCUCUUGAGCCAUGGCUCAUGACGCCAGUGCUGAAUCCUGCCCCGGGAAGCCCAGAAGCAAGGUAGGUACACGGUCUGGCACUGUCGCGUGCGCAACACGAUCAAGCGUACCAAUGGGUACCUCAAAAACGUAUUCCGGUGCCUGGGCCACGACCGCGUCUUACACUACAGCCCGACGAAGGCAUCGUCAAUAAUAAAUGCAUGUUGCGUAGUAUACAACAUAAUGCAACAUUAUAGAAAUGUUCCCGAGGAAAUCGUAGGAGAUAUUGAUGAAGACGCUCCUCAAGAACUUCCUCAUCGUCAUGCGCAAAACGGACUACUAUUAAGAGUGGCGCAGGAAAAGCGUGCGCGUCUAAUAAAUACAUAUUUUGCUUA